GGCCGAAUGGUGUAGUUGGUUAUCACGUGUCGUUAACAUUCAUUUGUACCGACAAGGUCCUGAGAUCGAGCCUCAGUUUGGUCA
Molecule: non-coding RNA, 84 nt
Organism: Arthroderma sp. PD_2
Lineage: Eukaryota; Fungi; Ascomycota; Eurotiomycetes; Onygenales; Arthrodermataceae
Source: the annotation of a GenBank genome assembly